This 231-nucleotide ribosomal RNA is filed under the name Pseudomonas putida. RNAcentral's name for it is "partial 16S ribosomal RNA". It matches the Rfam family "Bacterial small subunit ribosomal RNA", at positions 662 to 892 of the family's 1533-position model. Lineage: Bacteria; Pseudomonadati; Pseudomonadota; Gammaproteobacteria; Pseudomonadales; Pseudomonadaceae. The record is from RNAcentral.
UGGAAUUCCCCGUGUAGCGGUGAAAUGCGUAGAUAUGUGAAGGAACACCAGUGGCGAAGGCGACCCCCUGGACUGAUACUGACACUGAGGUGCGAAAGCGUGGGGAGCGAACAGGAUUAGAUACCCUGGUAGUCCACGCCGUAAACGAUGUCUACUAGCCGUUGGAAUCCUUGAGAUUUUAGUGGCGCAACUAACGCAUUUAGUUAACCGCCUGGGAAGUACCGCCGGCAG